This is a long non-coding RNA of Bufo bufo (common toad), 495 nucleotides long. RefSeq lists it as uncharacterized. The transcript is spliced from 4 exons. The record is from RefSeq and is a predicted model, not a curated record. Lineage: Eukaryota; Metazoa; Chordata; Amphibia; Anura; Bufonidae.
CAGAAUUGCAUUUUGAAUAUACCCUUGAGCUGCACAGCACAGAGGAAGAAGUUUGUCAGAAAAGCAAGCAGAGGAGAAGAGGACGCUAGUAGUGACCUCAGCACAGAAAGAAGAAGCUUGAACACGUUGGCACAUCGUUUUACUGUUUGAAAGUUUGAAAGCUUGAAAGUUAUCAAAGUUUGUUGAAUUUGGAAAAUCUGAAGCUGUAUAGUUGAUUCAAGUUCUGGAUGAAAAAUGUCACCUGGUUUAUAGAUGGAAAUUCACCGGUAAAUACUGUUUAUUUUUCUGAUCCCCGCCAUGCUACCAUACUUCUUUUGACUUGGACUUUCAGAGGCAGACACGUCAUCUUCAAAAACAAAUCCUUAUUGGAAAAUACAUGUACAUUUUAUACGUUACUGCAACAAAGUUGGUUAAUAAUAAAAUAAAAAUGUUUAUCCCUAACAGUUUCUGUAGGUCAUGUAUAAAUUUAUUUAAUGGGGGUGUGGCAUGGGAGGA